Non-coding RNA from Salmo salar (Atlantic salmon), 922 nucleotides. The record is from RefSeq and is a predicted model, not a curated record. Lineage: Eukaryota; Metazoa; Chordata; Actinopteri; Salmoniformes; Salmonidae.
UCCCUGUAAUCUUCUGAAAUUGUGAUGGGUUUCAGGCUUUGAAGGCGGGUUUUUCCUGGAUUUACAAGACAUUUGAAAUUGACCUGGCAAGCCUGUCUCUGUCUGAGCAUGAUCACAACAAAAGUAGCUGUGCAGCACGUUUUUUAAUGAAGAGGAGGAUGGUUGUAGACGUUCACAUUCCUGCAAGAAGGCACUGCAGAGGCUCAGAAGACACAUGGAAACUCUAAAAGAAACAUAAUUCAACUUGUAGGCCAGAUUUGAGAAGGAAAUAAUAAAUCCCGAAGCUCAGAUGUCAGACACCGAGGCUGCCAGUACCUCUGGGUCGAUAGUCCAUGUGUUGGAUGAUGCACUGCCGUUGAUCAGAACAAGUUAGUAACUUGACCAAAGCUAUGCUUGGAUACAAGACUGAUGACUCAAUAACCAAUAUUGACAACAGUGAAGAUGGUUGUGUCCCAGGGCCAUCAGAGGAAGGCAAUUUCUAUGAAGAAAAUCUGACCGGAGAGAUGUCAGCGAUUCGGGCCAAUGACCAAGGGAAAGCUGGGACAAAAGAGAGGCUCACACAGUGCCAAAGGAACAAAAAGGUAUUGGUCGACAAUAGAGGUGGAUGCAGUUGAUUCCUUGAUGAAUUUUAUCCGAAUGGGAAAAACACCUGGAAAACAAGACUGUGAGAAUUGCAUUGCUGCUUCUCCCAAGCGCUAGUAAACAGGGACUGGAGAGCAGUUAAGUUCUAUGUACACAACAGAAUAGUUGCAGAUCAGAGAAAAUAAGUGUAUGAGAUGCUUCUGGCUAUCUUGGUGUACUUCUGAGGAUUUAAUGGGACUUACUUGACUUAAACUCAUCAACAGAUGACGAAUGUCCUCUAUCUCACUGUUUCGAUCGUCAAAAGGAGUGGAUCAAAACGCAGCGUGUUGAGUGCUCAUAU